GUGCUUGCUUCAGCAGCACAUAUAGUAAAAUUGGAACGAUACAGAGAAGAUUAGCAUGGCCCCUGCAGAAGGAUGACAUGCAAAUUCGUGAAGCAUUCCAUAUUUUU
Nomascus leucogenys (northern white-cheeked gibbon) is the source of this 107-nucleotide small nuclear RNA. NCBI's taxonomy places the organism in Eukaryota, Metazoa, Chordata, Mammalia, Primates, Hylobatidae. The record is from Ensembl.